GGUAAGGUGGCCGAGUAGGCAUUAGGCUGUAAAUCUAACUACAGGGGUUGAGCCCCCUUCUUACCA
This 66-nucleotide transfer RNA is filed under the name Ochotona collaris. RNAcentral's name for it is "tRNA-Tyr". It matches the Rfam family "tRNA". Rfam says of the family: Transfer RNA (tRNA) molecules are approximately 80 nucleotides in length. Their secondary structure includes four short double-helical elements and three loops (D, anti-codon, and T loops). The record is from RNAcentral. Lineage: Eukaryota; Metazoa; Chordata; Mammalia; Lagomorpha; Ochotonidae.